GUCAGAUUUCAAAAGAAUAAGUUUCUGUGUGAGAAACGGUUUCCAAAAUGAUUUUCUGGAUUUAUCAUUGUAGUAGAUUUUUAAAAUAAAUUUUGUUACGGGAAAUACUUUUAAAUGAUAGAGUUAUUUGGUAUAUUGUGCAUCCGCAUCAUCUCUUGCCUAAGGAGUGCUUAGAAUAUGCAUUAUCUUAAGGAUGGUUAGUUAAUUGAACGCACGAGCAUCGGUAUUGUGUUUGCUGAUUUGUGUGCGGUGAUAUUGUGUGUUGUGGAUAUUGUAUUAGGUGAUAUGUCUACAGAUGCCGAACGGACAGAACCUUCUCUGUCCGCCCAAGGCUCCACAACAACAACAACUAAUACGCAUAAAGCAUUUGCUCAG
This 375-nucleotide long non-coding RNA is filed under the name Ananas comosus (pineapple). Its description in RNAcentral is "long non-coding RNA (ACOM_LNC012170)". The record is from RNAcentral. Lineage: Eukaryota; Viridiplantae; Streptophyta; Magnoliopsida; Poales; Bromeliaceae.